UCGUUUAUUAGGACUAGCUAAAUAUGAAGA
Molecule: small RNA, 30 nt
Filed under: Staphylococcus aureus
Lineage: Bacteria; Bacillati; Bacillota; Bacilli; Caryophanales; Staphylococcaceae
Description: HMPRFS0000_2678
Source: RNAcentral